GGACUACAGGGGUAUCUAAUCCCGUUUGCUACCCACGCUUUCGUGCCUUAGUGUCAGGAACGAGCCAGUUAUCUGCUUACGCCAUCGGUGUUCCUCCUAAUAUCUACGGAUUUCACUCCUACACUAGGAAUUCCAAUAACCUCUCUCGUCCUCUAGCUGAGUAGUUCAAACAAUGUAUAUUCGGUUGAGCCGAACGCUUUCACUGUUUGCUUACCCUGCCACCUACGCAACUCUUUACGCCCAGUAAUUCCGGAUAACGCUUGGAUCCUCCGUAUUACCGCGGCUGCUGGCAC
RNAcentral lists this ribosomal RNA (293 nucleotides) under uncultured bacterium. RNAcentral's name for it is "partial 16S ribosomal RNA". The record is from RNAcentral.